RNAcentral lists this ribosomal RNA (403 nucleotides) under uncultured bacterium. Its description in RNAcentral is "bacterial SSU rRNA". It matches the Rfam family "Bacterial small subunit ribosomal RNA", at positions 355 to 774 of the family's 1533-position model. The record is from RNAcentral.
UGAGGGAUAUUGGUCAAUGGGCGCAAGCCUGAACCAGCGACGCCGCGUGGGUGAAGAAAGUCUUCGGAUCGUAAAGCCCUUUUCCCACUGAAGAGGAAGGACGGUAGGUGGGGAAGAAGUCUCGGCUAACUACGUGCCAGCAGCCGCGGUAAAACGUAGGAGCCAAGCGUUAUCCGGAGUUACUGGGCGUAAAGGGCGUGCAGGUGGCGUCUUAAGUCUGUUGUGAAAGCGCCUGGCUUAACCGGGCGAGGCCAAUGGAGACUGAGAGGCUGGAGGACGGCGGAGGGGUGUGGAAUUCCGGGUGUAGUGGUGAAAUGCGUAGAGAUCCGGAGGAACACCAGAGGCGAAGGCGGCACUCUAAGCCGUACCUGACACUGAGACGCGACAGCACGGGGAGCAAACG